UUAGAUUCAAGAGUUUGCUCAUAGAAGGUAUAAACCCUAAUCGAAAUUCUGAUCUUGAUUGUUAUGAUAAAAGUUGUGUUGAAGUGUUAAAACAUGUUGAAUAUAGGGUUAUUAAGUGAUCUGGGUUGAUAGAUGUUAUAUCCAUAACAUCUAUAGGCUCAGAUCUAGUGUGUUUUCAAAAUCUGGAAAAAGUUUAAACUGUG
Molecule: long non-coding RNA, 203 nt
Filed under: Panax ginseng (ginseng)
Lineage: Eukaryota; Viridiplantae; Streptophyta; Magnoliopsida; Apiales; Araliaceae
Description: long non-coding RNA (PGIN_LNC004312)
Source: RNAcentral